Non-coding RNA from Cherax quadricarinatus, 2002 nucleotides. Lineage: Eukaryota; Metazoa; Arthropoda; Malacostraca; Decapoda; Parastacidae. The record is from RefSeq and is a predicted model, not a curated record.
CACACGUCGAGCGAUGAACGUCAGCCCCUGGUGGAAGCGGCUGCCAGAGGCAAUUUAAGAACCAUCAGCUCACUAAUAAAGUCGGCGUUAAUCUAGACGAAAGAAGCAACAGAAGAGACGACAUGGGUCGGACGGCGUUGCAUCUGAGCUCUGCGGCUGGACUUGAGGAGGUGGUGACGGAGUUACUUCGAUACGGAGCCACAAUUAAUGUUAAGGAUUACCAAGAGAUGCAGCCGCUGCACCUGGCCGCCGAGAGAAAUCAGGUGAAGGUUCUCUAUCAACUGGUGAACAAAGGUGCAUCGAAGGAAGCUCGAGACAUUGAAGGUUGGCGUCCUAUACACUUCGCUGCUGCCUGCGGCCAUACCAGGAUUUGGAGGAAUUGAAAAACCUGGGGUGCGACCUAGAAGCCAAGACGAAGAACAACUCGACCUCUCUCCAUCUGGCUGCAGAGAAUAACCAUCUGCAGGUGGUGCAGUGGCUAGUGGAGCAAGGCGCGAUCACCACUGCUGUUAACAAGCAGCAAGAACACAGCUGAAGACUGCGCCAGGAAGAAAUCUCACAAGGAAGUGGUCGACUUCCUUAAACAGUACCGAACAUUCGGAAAAGUGCAGCAGCAGAGGUACCAGGUGUACCCUGAUGAUGGUUCAGUAGGUACGAGCAGUGUUGCUGUGUCUAGGACACCUCGCUCUGCCCACCCUCAGGACACCCGUAGUGGUUCAGCAAGCUACAGAGGAGCCUCAUCCCCACCCCUGCCACCUCCUCAGUGGACUAACCCUCCUCAACCCGACUAUCAGCGUCAGGCCGACAAUCAGCGUCAGGCCGACUAUCAGCGUCAGGCCGACUAUCACCGUCAACCCGACUAUCAGCGUCAGACCGAUUAUCAGCGUCACCCCGACCUCCAACGUCAGCGCAACUACCAACGUCAGCUGGACACUUACCCUCAGACCAUUUCUUCCAUUUCUCCUCAGAGGCCCUCACACACUCAGCCCAGCUAUCACCCUCAGGCUUCUUCUUACCCGCAGACCUCCCCUUAUUCCUCUGCUCAGCGGAUCCCACAAACUCAGCUUAAUAUUCAGCCCCCGUCCCCCACUUACCCUCAGGACGCCCGUUUUCCCUCUCCUCACUGGUCCUCUCACACUCAAACUUACGAUCAACCUCAGCUUUCUCAUGAAAUACAGACUGUCAUUCACCCUCAGUCCUCUCACCCACUGGACUCCCUCACCCUCUAGACUCCCCUCACCCUCUGGACUCCCCUCACCCUCUAGACUCCCCUCAUCCUCUGGAUUCCCCUCAAGACAGGCAGUCAGAUCUAUCUACUCAGAUGCUGGUGGCGGCGGCGGAGGGGGGGGUGGAAGAGGUAGAGAGUUGUGUGGCAGCUGGAGCAGACUUGUCUUCCACCAGCACUAGGCCUGGAGAGGAAGGGUUGCAGGCGCUGCACCUGGCGUGUUGGGGCGGCCAUGUCCAGGUGGUGGAGAAGCUACUCGUACUGAAGGUCGACCAACGAGCUGUAGCCCAGGGUCGCGAGGGUGUCCACUGGGCGGCCUUCGGAGGUCACGUGAUGGUACUACGCGUGCUGAAAGAUCACGGAUGUGACAUCACUGUUUCUGCCUCCGGCGACGACAACGCCACACCGCUUCACCUAGCUGCCAUAACGACAACCUGGACGCGGUUCGCUGGUUGGUCGAACAAGGCGUCCAGAUUACGUCAAGAACAGCAUGGGCCUUACACCAGUUGACCUAGCAAUGAAAUCUUUUUCUGAAAACGUGUGUAACUACUUCCUCGAGGAACAAUUGAUUGAUGCAGCUGGUGCUGGCGACACGGAGACUACUCUCCGCCUGAUAGACAAUAAGGUUAAUGUUGACGCUCCCAGUUACAAGCCACAAUCCAGAGGUCGCAGGGCCCUUCACCAGGCUGCAGACGGAGGCCACACAACCGUGGUCGAGGCUCUCCUCAAUGCUAACGCUGACCCUAAUGCUGAGGACGACGAAGGAGUGCUGGGGAU